RNAcentral lists this ribosomal RNA (338 nucleotides) under uncultured Pseudomonadota bacterium. Its description in RNAcentral is "bacterial SSU rRNA". It matches the Rfam family "Bacterial small subunit ribosomal RNA", at positions 29 to 351 of the family's 1533-position model. Lineage: Bacteria; Pseudomonadati; Pseudomonadota. The record is from RNAcentral.
AACGAACGUUAGCGGCGCGCUUAACACAUGCAAGUCGAACGAGAAAGGGCUUCGGCCCCGGUACAGUGGCGCACGGGUGAGUAACACGUAGGUAAUCUUCCCUUGGAUGGCGGAUAACCCCUCGAAAGGGGGGCUAAUACGGCGUAAGACCACGUUUUCGAAAGAGAAUGAGGUAAAAGCGGGCCUCUGUAUACAAGCUCGCGUCUGAGGAUGAGCCUGCGGCCCAUCAGCUAGUUGGUAGGGUAACGGCCUACCAAGGCGACGACGGGUAGCUGGGUCUGAGAGGAUGAUCAGCCACACUGGAACUGAGACACGGUCCAGACUCCUACGGGUGGCAG